This 376-nucleotide ribosomal RNA is filed under the name uncultured bacterium. RNAcentral describes it as "bacterial SSU rRNA". It matches the Rfam family "Bacterial small subunit ribosomal RNA", at positions 523 to 898 of the family's 1533-position model. The record is from RNAcentral.
AUACGUAGGGAGCAAGCGUUGUCCGGAAUUACUGGGUGUAAAGGGAGCGUAGGCGGGACGGCAAGUCAGAUGUGAAAUUUAUGGGCUCAACUCAUAACCUGCAUUUGAAACUGCUGUUCUUGAGUGAAGUAGAGGUAAGCGGAAUUCCUGGUGUAGCGGUGAAAUGCGUAGAUAUCAGGAGGAACAUCGGUGGCGAAGGCGGCUUACUGGGCUUUUACUGACGCUGAGGCUCGAAAGCGUGGGGAGCAAACAGGAUUAGAUACCCUGGUAGUCCACGCUGUAAACGAUGAUUACUAGGUGUGGGGGGACUGACCCCUUCCGUGCCGCAGUUAACACAAUAAGUAAUCCACCUGGGGAGUACGACCGCAAGGUUGAA